AGAAUCGCGAUGAACAAGAGGAGUACGUAUGUUUUUUGAUCGAUAGAGAGCUCUUGGUUGGUGGAAAAGAGAGAUCGAGCAUAGGGAAGAAAGGCUUGGGAGCGACAGUAAUUCCUGCUUUAAAGGAUUGGACCGGAUCGGUUCUUGAGGUUUUUUAGGCAACUAGAAAACGAAUCAGGGUGGUAACGCGAGCACUUCGUCCCUGGA
Molecule: non-coding RNA, 207 nt
Filed under: Erysipelotrichaceae bacterium
Lineage: Bacteria; Bacillati; Bacillota; Erysipelotrichia; Erysipelotrichales; Erysipelotrichaceae
Description: T-box sequence
Rfam family: T-box leader
About the family: Uncharged tRNA acts as the effector for transcription antitermination of genes in the T-box leader family. T-boxes are found upstream of many aminoacyl-tRNA synthetase genes and some amino acid biosynthetic genes usually in Gram-positive bacteria.
Source: RNAcentral